CCAAGCUACUAAGAGCCAACGGUGAAUAAGGACGUGGGUGGCUGCGAAAAGCCACGGUGAGCUGUCUACCGAGCUUUGACCCGUGGAUGUCCGAAUGGGGAAACCCUGCACUCGUAAUGGGGUGUAACUCCCGCCUGAACACAUAGGGCGGGUAGAGGGAACUGGGUGAACUGAAACAUCUAAGUAACCCAAGGAAAAGAAAGCAACAGCGACUCCCUGAGUAGCGGCGAGCGAAAUGGGAUGAGCCUAAACCGACCUGGUGUCAAGCCUGACGGCGUUGCCAGAUCGGGGUCGUGGGACCAAAUGGGAGGGGCGUCAGACCUUCCACAGAGUUACAAAUCUGCCGGUUAGCAGAAGUGUCCUGGAAAGACACGCCGUAGCGGGUAAUAGCCCCGUAUGCGAAAACCGAGCAGACUCUGAUUUGAGCUCCCGAGUAACACCGGAUCCGGGAAAGCCGGUGUGAAUCUGCGAGGACCACCUCGUAAGGCUAAGUAUACGUAGUCGACCGAUAGCGAACUAGUACCGUGAGGGAAAGGUGAAAAGUACCCCGGGAGGGGAGUGAAAUAGUACCUGAAACCGUUGGUUUACAAUCAGUCAAAGCGUCGUCUGGAACUUGUUCCAGGCCGCGAUGGCGUGCCUUUUGAAGAAUGAGCCUACGAGUUACGGUGUGUGGCAAGGUUAACCCGUGAGGGGAAGCCGGAGCGAAAGCGAGUCUGAACAGGGCGUUCAGUCGCAUGCUGUAGACCCGAAGCCGAGUGAUCUAUCCAUGGGCAGUGUGAAGCGGGGGUAAGACCCCGUGGAGGCGCGAACCGACCUAGGUUGAAAACUGGGCGGAUGACCUGUGGAUAGGGGUGAAAGGCCAAUCAAACUCGGUGAUAGCUGGUUCUCCGCGAAAUGCAUUUAGGUGCAGCGUCGCAUGUUCAGUCAUGGAGGUAGAGCACUGGAUGGGUUAGGGGGCCUACAAGCUUACCAACCCCAGCCAAACUCCGAAUGCCAUGACUCCAGAGUGCGGCAGUGAGUCCUCGGGGGAUGAGCUUCGAUGGACGAAAGGGAAACAGCCCAGACCGCCGACUAAGGCCCCAAAGUUCUGACUAAGUGGUAAACGAAGUGGGAUUGCACAGACAGCCAGGAUGUUGGCUUAGAAGCAGCCACCAUUAAAAGAGUGCGUAAUAGCUCACUGGUCGAGUGAUCCCGCGCGGAAAAUGUAACGGGGCUCAAGUCAGACGCCGAAGUCGCGGACUUCUGCAUAGCAGGAGUGGUAGCGGAGCGUCGAGCCUGGAUUGAAGCGGCGGUGUAAACCGUCGUGGACUGGGUUCGAGUGAGAAUGUAGGCAUGAGUAGCGAGAGAGGGGUGAGAAACCCCUCCGCCGGAAGUCCAAGGGUUCCUGGGGAAGGCUAAUCCUCCCAGGGUGAGUCGGGAGCUAAGGCGAGGCCGAGAGGCGUAGUCGAUGCACAACCGGUUGAUAUUCCGGUACCACAGGUUGCGCGACAAACGCCAAUCUGCAGUUGCUAAGGGGAUGGUCGGUCCUUCGGGAUCGACAGGAACUAACCCACUGCGGGGAGGCGAGUGAUGCGGGGACGCAGGAAGGUAGAUGAUCCCAGGCGAUGGUUGUCCUGGGGCAAGCGUGUAGGUCGAGGCGUAGGUAAGUCCGCUCCUCAUAAAGACUGAGACGUGACGCCGAGCCGUUUAAGGCGAAGUCAUUGAUCCUAUGCUGCCGAGAAAAGCCGCUAGCGAGUGCAACAAGUGCCCGUACCCCAAACCAACUCAGGUGGACAGGUAGAGAAUACCAAGGCGAUUGGGAGAACUAUGGUUAAGGAACUCGGCAAAAUACAUCCGUAACUUCGGGAGAAGGAUGACCGCAUUAGGGUGAAAGAACUUCGCGUUCUUAGCUCGAAGCGGUGGCACAGACCAGGGGAAAGCGACUGUUUACUAAAAACACAGCAGCGUGCAAAGUCCUAAGACGACGUAUACGCUGUGACGCCUGCCCGGUGCCGGAAGGUUACGGGGAAGGGUUAGCUCUAGGGCGAAGCUCUGAACCUAAGCCCCGGUAAACGGCGGCCGUAACUAUAACGGUCCUAAGGUAGCGAAAUUCCUUGUCGGGUAAGUUCCGACCUGCACGAAUG
RNAcentral lists this ribosomal RNA (2123 nucleotides) under hydrothermal vent metagenome. RNAcentral's name for it is "bacterial LSU rRNA". It matches the Rfam family "Bacterial large subunit ribosomal RNA", at positions 31 to 1998 of the family's 2925-position model. The record is from RNAcentral.